Thalassophryne amazonica is the source of this 190-nucleotide long non-coding RNA. RefSeq lists it as uncharacterized. The record is from RefSeq and is a predicted model, not a curated record. The transcript has 3 exons. NCBI's taxonomy places the organism in Eukaryota, Metazoa, Chordata, Actinopteri, Batrachoidiformes, Batrachoididae.
UGAAGGGGACUUUUAGACGAUGGAAUAUGCGGCUGAUCCAGGUGUGCACAAUUCUAGAGUGUGAUUUAUAAAGAACAUUGUUUUCAGGUGUGUGUCUGCAUGUUUUUGUAAAACUGAUUUUUUUUUUUUUUUGCACACUUUCAGCUUUUAUGCGCACGAGUCCGUGGCUCUGUUUUAUAAAAGAGACUCU